GACGAACGCUGGCGGCGUGCUUAACACAUGCAAGUCGAACGGAAAGGCCCUGCUUUUGUGGGGUGCUCGAGUGGCGAACGGGUGAGUAACACGUGAGUAACCUGCCCUUGACUUUGGGAUAACUUCAGGAAACUGGGGCUAAUACCGGAUAGGAGCUCCUGCUGCAUGGUGGGGGUUGGAAAGUUUCGGCGGUUGGGGAUGGACUCGCGGCUUAUCAGCUUGUUGGUGGGGUAGUGGCUUACCAAGGCUUUGACGGGUAGCCGGCCUGAGAGCGUGACCGGGCACAUUGGGACUGAGAUACGGACCAGACUCGUACGGGAGGCAGCAGUGGGGAAUAUUGCACAAUGGGCGGAAGCCUGAGGCAGCAACGCCGCGUGCGGGAUGACGGCCUUCGGGUUGUAAACAGCUUUCGCCUGUGACGAAGCGUGAGUGACGGUAAUGGGUAAAGAAGCACCGGCUAACUACGUG
RNAcentral lists this ribosomal RNA (468 nucleotides) under uncultured bacterium. Its description in RNAcentral is "partial 16S ribosomal RNA". It matches the Rfam family "Bacterial small subunit ribosomal RNA", at positions 28 to 507 of the family's 1533-position model. The record is from RNAcentral.